UACAUAUAUAUAUAGAGUUGGACUGGGCUACUAUUAGUAGCAAAAUCUCAUUAUUGCUACCAAUUUUUUAGCCUUUGGAUCAACUCUUUUCAUUAUUUCUAACCAUUGGAUUAAAUACUAUAACCCAGUGGGGACCACUCAACCCUAGGGGAUCACUCAACUCUAACUGACUAAUAUCAUCCUGACCCUACAAUUUUUCAUCCAAUGGUUAAAAACUUGAUAGCAAAAAGAGUAUUUUACUAUUAAUAGUAUUCCANAUAUAUAUAUAUAUAUAUAGGCCGGGCCGUCGAAGGAUAAUAAAACGAUAUGGUAGGAGAGGAGAAAUUAGGUUUAGAAGUUUUAGGAAUAGAUAGAGAAAAAAAUAUAUUUUUAAUUAAAAAAAAUAUGUGGGUACUCAUAUGCAUCCAUGGAUUGUUCAAAAUACCGACAAUAUAAUAGGUGCCGCCCAAUUUUACUCAUAAUUUUUUUUGUAAGAAAAAUUAGUAUCUAAACUCGUAAUUUUGCUAGUAACCUAUGGGUACGGGUAGAGAUUGUCCGGUCUAGUGCUAUUAAUCUUUUAGCCAUUUGAUCAAUUUUAGUAACUCUUAGAUCAUGCACAAUAAUGAGCCC
RNAcentral lists this long non-coding RNA (609 nucleotides) under Ananas comosus (pineapple). RNAcentral describes it as "long non-coding RNA (ACOM_LNC014614)". The record is from RNAcentral. Lineage: Eukaryota; Viridiplantae; Streptophyta; Magnoliopsida; Poales; Bromeliaceae.